CUCAAAUCCUUGGGAACCUAGGUGUGAGUGCUGCUUCAGUGCAACACACCUAUUCAAGGAUUCAAA
Molecule: microRNA precursor, 66 nt
Organism: Cavia aperea (Brazilian guinea pig)
Lineage: Eukaryota; Metazoa; Chordata; Mammalia; Rodentia; Caviidae
Source: Ensembl